CUUCGUUUUGAGUACGAGAAAGUGCUGGUUUAGCAGCUGACAAGUGUUAGUACUCACAUUUCUCCAAGUGUCAGAUUUCAAAGAUCUUGCUCUUGUUCAUUAUAUUAUCCAGGCAUAGCUUGUGUCAUUGUGUAUUACAUUAUUGCCCUUCCCAGAUACUGCAUUUUUACAAAUUGAAGGUUUAUGGUAACCUUGCAUCAAGUAAGUCUAUUCGUGCCUUUUUUCUAACAGCAUAUGCUCACUUUAUGUCUCCGUUUCAGCAUUCUAUAGCAAUGAAGUAUUUCUAAAUUAAGGUAUGUACAUGGGUUUUUUAGACAUACACUAUUACACACUUAAUAGUAUACUGUAAGCAUAACCUGUAUAUGUACAGGGAAACCAAAAAUAGUGUGACUCAAUUUAUUGCAAUAUUUGUUUUAUUUCAGAGGUCUGGAACAGAAACAGAAAUAACUCUGAGGUGUGCCUGCUCUGCAUAAUAACAACAAGCAAUAUAUGUGUGAUUUAUAUUGACAUAUGGUUACUCGAUGAUUAUUUUUUAAGAUGCAAUAUUUUGUUUGGCAAAAGAAAUUUGAAUGGAAGGAAGUGGAACUCAGGAAACUAAGCAAUGGACUGGAAGUCACAUAUGACUUGAAACUUUCUUCCUGUUUUAUGAAUCUGAUAAAUACUCCACUGUCACUUCUCCAUAAAUUCUUCCUUCUCACCAACAGGAGGAAAUGGUUCUGGCCCAAUUUAUGGGAUUUCUUGAGGAAGUUUCAAUAGACUAAUGGACUCCAAUAGAAAAGUUUGUUCAAACUGAGAUCUUUCACAAAAUGUUUCAUGGUAAAUAUAGGUCUUAUUGUCAUACAUUCUAAACUCAUCAAGUUCUUAAACUUGAUGGCAAAAUCAUCCUCUGAGCUAUUUCAAGACAUUCUCUUAUGAAAAAACAAAAACAAAAAAAAUUCUAACAGACACUGAAUGCUAAAUAAACUGAAGACACACAGCUUGGGACUCUAACUGCUUUCCUUUCUACUAACAGAUACCAUCACUCUUACCUAGUUCUGAAUCCAAUCAAAACUUAGUAAAACAUGUUAUCUCAUCCAUUAAUGACAGAAUGGAAAAAAAGAGAAAGACCUUAUAAUUAUACACCAAAUCUAGCAGAAGGUAAGUCUUAAAUUAAGUUGUAACGACUCUGAACUUUUCAAACGAAACCAUACUGUCUUCCAGACUCAUACUGUGUAUGUAUAUUGGCCUGCCAGAACUGGUAUUUAUUAUGAGC
This 1252-nucleotide long non-coding RNA is filed under the name Macaca mulatta (Rhesus monkey). Its description in RNAcentral is "lncRNA (ENSMMUG00000059999.1)". The record is from RNAcentral. Lineage: Eukaryota; Metazoa; Chordata; Mammalia; Primates; Cercopithecidae.